Molecule: ribosomal RNA, 342 nt
Filed under: uncultured eukaryote
Lineage: Eukaryota
Description: SSU rRNA
Rfam family: Eukaryotic small subunit ribosomal RNA
Source: RNAcentral
AUAGCGUAUAUUAAAGUUGUUGCAGUUAAAAAGCUCGUAGUUGGAUUUCUGCGAGGGUGCCAAUGUCCGCUCGUAAGCGUGUGCAGCGGCGCCCUCGCAUCCUUCUGUUAACGUUUCUUGGUAUUCAUUUACUGGUUUCGGGCUCAGAUAUUUUACCUUGAGAAAAUUAGAGUGUUUCAGGCAGGCUUGCGCCGGAAUACAUUAGCAUGGAAUAAUAGAAUAGGACUUUUGUCUCCUUUGUUGGUUUGAGGGACUGAAGUAAUGAUUAAUAGGGAUAGUUGGGGGCAUUAGUAUUUAAUUGUCAGAGGUGAAAUUCUCGGAUUUGUUAAAGACUAACUUAUG